RNAcentral lists this ribosomal RNA (250 nucleotides) under uncultured prokaryote. Its description in RNAcentral is "partial 16S ribosomal RNA". It matches the Rfam family "Bacterial small subunit ribosomal RNA", at positions 524 to 773 of the family's 1533-position model. The record is from RNAcentral.
UACGAAGGGUGUAAGCGUUGUUCGGAAUUACUGGGCGUAAAGGGUGCGUAGGCGGAUGAAUUAGUUAGGAGUGAAAUCCCGGGGUUUAACCUCGGAACUGCUCUUAAUACGGUUUGUCUAGAGUGUGCUAGGGGACAAUGGAAUACCCAGUGUAGAGGUUAAAUUCGUAGAUAUUGGAUAGAACACCAGUGGCGAAGGCGAUUGUCUGGGGCAUAACUGACGCUGAGGCACGAAAGCGUGGGGAGCAAAC